AUAUUUUUUCCUAGAAAAGUAUCACUUUUAUUUACACUUUCAAAUGUUUGGUAUUAAACUGUCUCUGUGUUCCUGAGUGUGCUGUGAAGGCACACGCAGGGGUUGUGUCUCUCCACGAUGUCAGCUUUAUUCAGUCAUAAAUCUAGGUCAGCAUAAUCAUAAAGCAGGUGCAGAAUUCCAGAUUCAGUGACGUUUCACUGACGAUUAACUUGGCUUCUUCUGUGGCACACGGAGUAGAACACAAGACAAGUCACACAGCAAAGUGACCUCUGCCCAGAAUUUCCAUCCCACCUGCUCUGACUCAUCAUGGCUGACUCAUCUCUCAGGUCUCAGCUUGAUUCAGUCAGGUUCUUAGUUAAAGACAACAGAAUCUACUCUGGCUGAGAAAGGGACUUUAUUAAGAUUACGUAGCCCCGAGAGUCUCCAGGAAGAUCAGAAGCCGGGUGGAGGUACGAUACCCAAGCACGCCAGAAGCUCUAGUGAAAAUCCACCGCUGCUGCCACCACUUGACACCAACGCCGCAACUUCCACAAACACAGGCUGUGAAACUAAGGCCUGGGGAACCAGGAGCUCUCCCUCUUGUCCGCUCGCCAGCCUCACCACUGGGUAGGCAGAGUUUGGCACUUUUCGUUCUUCGUCUUGCCCAUGUUUCUUGCAAUAAAAAAGUGGAAUCUGACCAAUCUCA
This is a long non-coding RNA of Canis lupus familiaris (dog), 685 nucleotides long. RefSeq lists it as uncharacterized. The record is from RefSeq and is a predicted model, not a curated record. The transcript has 2 exons. NCBI's taxonomy places the organism in Eukaryota, Metazoa, Chordata, Mammalia, Carnivora, Canidae.